AAUGAAUUUAAGCUUCAUAUAUAAAGAAAGGCCUUUUAUUAGAA
This 44-nucleotide transfer RNA is filed under the name Grylloblatta sp. SDS07_042J. RNAcentral's name for it is "partial tRNA-Leu". The record is from RNAcentral. Lineage: Eukaryota; Metazoa; Arthropoda; Insecta; Grylloblattodea; Grylloblattidae.